Long non-coding RNA from Pseudophryne corroboree (corroboree frog), 1192 nucleotides. RefSeq lists it as uncharacterized. NCBI's taxonomy places the organism in Eukaryota, Metazoa, Chordata, Amphibia, Anura, Myobatrachidae. The record is from RefSeq and is a predicted model, not a curated record. The transcript has 3 exons.
UCCUGUUCCAGUCAGUGAACUACUGUAGGCUUUCUGCUGUGCUGUUCCCGCUGCUGACCUCAGUGGGGUUCUGGUCUUCUCCCCAUCAACUCCUACAUGGCCGUGCAGUUUCUGGGAAGGCUCAGCGGCAAACAGAGGCCCUCUCCAGCUUCCUGCAAUUACAUCUUCUCCUGGCUCUGAUUUAAGGGUUUGUUACUCCUUCUUCACGGUGUACAGCAGCUAGUCACACAGCAUGACCUCUCGCCAGACAGUGCUCAAAGUCCUCUUUCAAUCUAGUCCAGGCAUCAGGCAACCUCAGAGAAGAGACUCCCUGGCUGUGCACAGUAACAUUAUGCCAUUUACGUGGAGAUCGAACUCUGUAUGCAAAGCAGAAAAUGAAUACUAACAAGCUACUGGGUUUGAACUUCAAAAGGAUCUAUUUUAUUUAGAAUAAGGAAGCGUGAAUGGACUACGCAUUCCAUGUGCGCCUCAAACACACGAAGUGGAAAUGACGUAAACGGGCGCUAACACAAUCUACAUCCACCAAGGAGUCCAAGUCUACGAUGCGGCUCACGGACUUAGAAACUGGAAAUGGAUGUGACGCAGGUGAGGCGCAUGCAUUCCACCUUUAAAAGACAUGAAACCGGAAGCUAGAUGACGCAUGCAUUCCACAUGCGUUCCAAUAACAGAAAAGCACAGUCUUAAUAGUUUUAUACAUCAUAUAAGCUGUAUUGUGUAUUGUAUUCUCUUUUGUACCAUUCUGUAACUAUGUAUAAUCCUCGAGACAUAUUUAUGUUACCACUCUGUAUGUAUUUAGGAUUAACAUCAAGACUAAGACAUAUGUCUAACUGGAAGAGAUUUUCACUGACUUUCUGUCUGUCUAACAGGAAGUGAUUUUCACUGACUUCGUGUCUGUCUAACAUGAAGUGAUUCUCAUUGACUUCCUGUCUGUCUAACAGGAAGUGAGUCUCAUUGACUUCCUGUUUGUUUGUUUGUUUGAUUCCCCUAUAAAUAUCUGACAAGGGUCAGUUAAUUUUAUCCCCUUGAAGAAGUCUGACAUCCAGACGAAACACGUAGGGACUUACCUCAUGACUAUAUCCAUAUGAUUGGACAGAUAAGCUCAUUUAUGUUUUACUCUUUGUACGUUUGAUACCAAACAUUUGCCUGCUGAUCUUAACUAUUUUUUUUUUUACUUGUGUGUGCAUAUAUAUAA